ACGGGUGAGGAAUACAUCGGAAUCUACCUUUUCGUGGGGGAUAACGUAGGGAAACUUACGCUAAUACCGCAUACGACCUUCGGGUGAAAGCAGGGGACCUUCGGGCCUUGCGCGGAUAGAUGAGCCGAUGUCGGAUUAGCUAGUUGGCGGGGUAAAGGCCCACCAAGGCGACGAUCCGUAGCUGGUCUGAGAGGAUGAUCAGCCACACUGGAACUGAGACACGGUCCAGACUCCUACGGGAGGCAGCAGUGGGGAAUAUUGGACAAUGGGCGCAAGCCUGAUCCAGCCAUACCGCGUGGGUGAAGAAGGCCUUCGGGUUGUAAAGCCCUUUUGUUGGGAAAGAAAAGCAGUCGAUUAAUACUCGGUUGUUCUGACGGUACCCAAAGAAUAAGCACCGGCUAACUUCGUGCCAGCAGCCGCGGUAAUACGAAGGGUGCAAGCGUUACUCGGAAUUACUGGGCGUAAAGCGUGCGUAGGUGGUUGUUUAAGUCUGUUGUGAAAGCCCUGGGCUCAACCUGGGAAUUGCAGUGGAUACUGGGCGACUAGAGUGUGGUAGAGGGUAGUGGAAUUCCCGGUG
RNAcentral lists this ribosomal RNA (577 nucleotides) under Lysobacteraceae bacterium BvORR135. Its description in RNAcentral is "bacterial SSU rRNA". It matches the Rfam family "Bacterial small subunit ribosomal RNA", at positions 102 to 675 of the family's 1533-position model. The record is from RNAcentral. Lineage: Bacteria; Pseudomonadati; Pseudomonadota; Gammaproteobacteria; Lysobacterales; Lysobacteraceae.